CCGAGAAUAUUCCACAAUGGGCGAAAGCCUGAUGGAGCGACGUCGCGUGACUGAUGAAGUCUUUCGGGAUGUAAAGGUCUUUUAUCGGGGAGAAAGUCAUUGAUAGUACCCGAUGAAUAAGGGGUUGCUAAACUCGUGCCAGCAGCAGCGGUAAUACGAGUACCCCGAGCGUUAUCCGGAAUUAUUGGGCGUAAAGGGCGCGUAGGCGGACAUGUUAGUCCUUCGUUAAAUUUCCCGGCUUAACCGGGAACCCGCGAGGGAAACGGCAUGACUGGAGGAUGCGAGAGGUGUGCGGAACUCAUAGUGUAGGGGUGAAAUCCGUUGAUAUUAUGGGGAACACCAAAUGCGAAGGCAGCACACUGGCGUAUUCCUGACGCUGAGGCGCGAAAGCGUGGGGAUC
RNAcentral lists this ribosomal RNA (400 nucleotides) under uncultured bacterium. RNAcentral's name for it is "bacterial SSU rRNA". It matches the Rfam family "Bacterial small subunit ribosomal RNA", at positions 355 to 769 of the family's 1533-position model. The record is from RNAcentral.